Molecule: ribosomal RNA, 253 nt
Filed under: uncultured bacterium
Lineage: Bacteria
Description: partial 16S ribosomal RNA
Rfam family: Bacterial small subunit ribosomal RNA
Source: RNAcentral
UACGAAGGGGGCUAGCGUUGUUCGGAAUUACUGGGCGUAAAGCGCACGUAGGCGGAUAUUUAAGUCAGGGGUGAAAUCCCAGAGCUCAACUCUGGAACUGCCUUUGAUACUGGGUAUCUUGAGUAUGGAAGAGGUAGGUGGAAUUGCGAGUGUAGAGGUGAAAUUCGUAGAUAUUCGCAGGAACACCAGUGGCGAAGGCGGCUUACUGGUCCAUAACUGACGCUGAGGUGCGAAAGCGUGGGGAGCAAACAGG